Corvus moneduloides (New Caledonian crow) is the source of this 6057-nucleotide long non-coding RNA. NCBI's taxonomy places the organism in Eukaryota, Metazoa, Chordata, Aves, Passeriformes, Corvidae. The record is from Ensembl.
UGAACAGAAACUUCUCAUGGAAGAUUUUCCAGCAUACAAAACUGAUAUAAUAUUAUUUGGCUCAAAAUCACUUUUCAUCAGACUUCCACACUUUUUUGUUCUGUUUUGUUUUCCAGGAUUGGGCUUUUCCUUGCUCUUUUCUUACAGUGGUAUCUUUUGGAGGCCAGUUUCCUUCCUGCUAUAGGACUACACGGCUGCCCUCUGGAACAUCAGAUCUCACAAAUGCCAUUUUAAUCUCCACAGGAGAAUGACACCAGCCUUCAUGGAGUUUACAUUCUUUGGAAAUAUCAAGAGUGAUGCUGGACAAGACUACGGAGGAAACUGAGACUAGGGAUGAGGUUCGUACCUACCCCAUAUGAGCUUCUCUCUACUAUCAAGAAUGGUUAAGUGAUAAAAGCUGCAAUUCUACUUUCAGAACAAGGUUCCUUUCACUGGAUAUGCAGAAAACCAUCAAGUGUAAGAGCAUAUGGACCAAAACACUGAAUAUUUUUGGUGGCUUUUUUCAAGCGUUCAUUGUAGAGUUUUUUGGUUUUAUUGUAUUUUGUUUUAUCCAGCCUCUAAAAUGUUCCCAAAAUGCAUGUCAUUGUUUCUUCCUCUCUAUAUUUUUAACCAGAAAGCAGAUCUUCUCUCUUUGGGUUUUACUGAGGAGGGGCAGGUGCCCCUAGGAAACAGUUGACUUGCAGAGAGUUAUAUGGGAAUUGUAUAAUUGCGUACAAGUGAGGGGAAGAAAGCACACAAAUCUGCUUCUCUGCAGUCAUAGUUUUGUCAAAAGUCAACUAAGGGAACAAUUUCAAAUUGCCAUCUGUCUUUGUCACUAUCUCUGCCUCAGAAGCGGGUCAAAGACUGCCUGCUGGGGAGAAAAUACAGCAAAAGGGUUAACCCUACUAAUAUGAUUACUACUAAUAAAUAAUUCAUUGCUACCAUAAUGCAAACUGAAAGAGGCUAAAACUGGAGCAGCACAUGGCAAUCCCACUGCUUGAAGGCUGGCUUGUUCAGGAAGUCAUGAGGGCUAAAACCCAGAGCAGAAGGCUGAGCUGUCAUGUGCCAAUGGACCCCAGCCACCAAAGCUACUGCUGUGCAUCUUCAUUAGCACAUUCCCAAAAGCAAAUGCAUCUUCCAACCCCUCCCAGGAGACCUGAUUUUUGGCAGGAACCGCUUUUUGGCAGGGGAUGGUCCUGCAGUCCGGCCGCAGUGGGGGGCCCCGGCUGCAGGUCUGCCCCCGCGGGGGUCUCCAGGUGGGAGAUGGUAACGGGGAUUUCAGCUGGCCUUGGACUGCAGCUCUUCCUCUCGGCAUCCUUUCCAUGUGGGCAGGAGAACAAAUUUACCUUAAAAACAAAACAUAGGUUGGAAGUGAACGAGGCCCUACGAGAAUCACUACAGGAGCCAGGUGUAUUUUCCUUUGUCUCCUCAGCCUUGAGAGACGAGCGGGACGAUGCCGCACACCGGCCCCGGCGGCUGCACCAUCCCGGGGCAGGGCUGCUCCGGCCCAAGCGGCACGGAGCUGCUCCCAAAACUCUCCGGAAUCCCUCCCCACCGUCCGGGGUCCCUUCCUUUGCAGAGGGAGGGCACACGAGUGGCAGGCGGCAGCUGCCCUGCUCGAGCGGGACCGACGGACCGGCGCGGCAGCGGGAGCCAGAACCAAGCCAGGGGCUUUGCAGAUAUUCCCUUCCAAAGCGCAGAGAAAAGGGAUUACACUGAAUUAUCAAGUACCCCGCAAUAUUCUGCUUCGAUUCACGCUUCAAAUAAAUUACUUUUCUAAUAAUCCAUUAACUGCUUUAACGACCAGUGUUACUUAUUCACCAGUGCUCCGUGAAAGUUACUUAUUUGAAAAUUCUUUGCGAUUUCCAGUUGCUCUCCACAUAACAUGCACUAUUCGAAGAAAGCAAGAGGGCUUUCAAACAGGAAAACACAGAGUUAGUCCCUCAUUUCUCAAGACCAGCACGGCACUGGGGCUCCUAGUUUUAUUUUUAAUACAAAGAAAAUUAUUUUCCCCCUUGCUAAGCGCUCACUGUUCCCGUGGAUCUCCCUGGAAGGUGCUGGGUGCUGAAGCCUUAGGAGAAAACGGGCCACCUUCCGAGAAAGGCCUAACUACGGACUUAAACAGCCUCACUUGAACAGCCCACAUUAACAAGCAAUAAACCCUACGACUUCGUUUCAAUCCCAAAUUCACUGUACCACGCUCAAAGGAUGACGUAAACAAUGUGAGCACUACAGAAAGUGUGCGAAAGUUACAGCCGAAAAGGGAAUUAAAAAAAAAAAAAAAAAAAAAAAAAAAAAAAAAAAAAGGGCUCUCAUAACGGAAAAAUGCUUUUAGGAGAUGUGACAGCCGCGCUCUGGAGCAGGACCUGCAGACUCGUGCGUUCCCUGAGGAAGCACAGCCAGCGCGCUCCGACCGCCGUCCCACGGACACCGCAGCGUUACACGGGGUGUAAAUCCCGCUGCCCCGGCACCCACCUGCGGGGGAUGCCCAGCACAAGGACCGCCAGCUGAGAACCAAAACCGCCGGGGGGGAGAGCCCAGGGCGCCCCCGACUCCCACCAGUUAUUUUUAUCCGCGUCCGGCCUUUCCAACUCAUCAGAUAUUCGCUGCGAGGCGGAGCAAUAGAAGAGCACCCUCAGAACUCAGCCGGGCUCGCAGGGACACACAGAGCCCAGCACCGGGAGUGAGCAGCCCGCGGCACCAACAGGGACGCAGGCAGGGCUGCGGCAUCGGGCCCGCACACUGCCCUCCCUGAUCGUAAAAUUAGCAACAGAAAGAGUUAAUUACCCAAACCCCAAAUAUUGUGGAGAUCUCAGUAAAGCAAAGAAAGAAAAUUAAAAACCAACAAAAAUACACCCCCAAAUACCAGCCUAGGACAGGCGGGCAGCAGCGCAGCGCUGCUGGCUCACGGAGACUGAGCUCGGAUUACCCUCCGCGACGCUUCCAGCACGGAGGGAAGGAACCUUCUUUUUGUCGUUGUUGUUGAUUUGGUUUUGGUUUUUUUAAAAGUUUAGUUAGUUAGUUAGUUAGUUUCCCCCCCUGCAAUGUCUCUUCUCUUUUCUGCACGAAUCAGCAACCCCGUCCCCGUGCACUAGGCCCUGCAGAAUCUUCCAAAACAGUUUAAUAAGGGGUAAACCCGGGAUUGAGAUAUUCUGAUUGACAUUUAGUUUUUAUACAUAUAAAAUCUAUAAAGUACAGAUUAUAUAUUUAUACGCACAUAUUAAAAUAUAUAUCUAACCUCCCUCCAGCCUUUUUCAAUAUAUCGGGAAAAAAUCAGACUCGAGGUAAUGCAAAGUCAGUAAAAUGAGCAGCUUUUCUCUGGCUCUGUCUGACAGGCUUUGUCUUUAUGUCUGCGUCAGACAGUGCUCAGUCUAAACCAACGGGAUUAACCAGGACGAUCCCCGGGUGAUCCUGAGCAGCGUGACAAACCGCAGUGAUAAAAUAUGACGGUGCCACUCUCUGCAAACACCUCGGGAUUGUUUUACAGUGGUACAUCCCCGGCUAUCCCUCUGCUCGUGACUGCCGGCCGCGGGGCUGGCUGCAGGAAUUAAAAUCCACCAUCGCACCCGGGGAAAGUUUUAAAUCCCAGGAUUCGCUUUCCUCUUCACGAACAGUAAAAAAAUUCAGGUGUGGCGAUGAGCUCGCAUGUAAAAACCGUGACGGGGGGGGGGGGGGGGGGGGGGGGGGGGGGCAAAGCAAUUUUUUGAAGUUAUUUUUAAAUAAAAAAUGUAGUGUUCAGGAGUAGCGAUAAACUCAUGUAAAAAUCGUGACACGGGUGCAAUGCAAGUAUUUUUAAACAAUCGGUAUGGGUUUCUCAAAAGGAUUAGUAUGAUUUCAGCAACCUUGUCUUCGAAAUACACUUCGGGGGCCCGGAAUGUUACGUGCUGGGUUACUCGAAAGGGAAAAGACGCACCGGGACGCUGUGGAUGUUAGCAUUUUGGUGAAUUUUUGUUAGACCCAAAGAGAGGAGCCCCGGGGAGGGGGGAGAGCAGGCGGUCCCUGCACACAGCGCCACACAGCCAGCCUCGCCAUUUUACACAGCCACCGCUCCUGCGCAUUAAACGGGACAACGGAGGACGGGGUGGGAUUAGCUCCAGGAGUGGCACAAGCGUUCAUCCGGGGGCUGCGGAGGAGCCGAGGAGCCCCCAGAGGGGCAUGCGAGCACACAGAGCCCUGCGCCCACCGCGCCCCUUCAGCGCUGCUUCCGGAGAGCGCCAAGAUUUAAAAAAAAAAAACCUUGGUGACAACGAGGGAGGAGAGCCGCGACCUCUUCCAGUUUGUGUUUCCAGGCACGGCCCUCCAGCCUAACACGCCCGUGUCCCCUGGUGGAGGGGGUACCGAAAUGAAGAUGUCUGUGGGCCGCGGGGUCCUGCCCCCCACGGCGGAGAGGGCUCUGCGCUUCCCCAACCGGGAUCCCACUGUCCGACACCCGUCCCGCGGCCUCCCGGCCGUGCAAGCCUGCUCGGCCCGCAGGGGAGGGCGGGCUGAAGGCGGCGGGGGCGGUGGCUGAGGACGGCUGCCUGCGGGGAGAGCCCAGAGAAAAUGGAGGCAGGCGGGUUGGCUGCAUGGCGGCAGCGGGGCGGCCGAGGAGCGGUCUGAGCUUCCUGCUAAGGUGGGAGCGAGUGAGCUUCCCCCCGCCCGUCUGGGCUUAACCGGGACUCGGCAGCCACACACCGCCCGAGCCGCUCCGGGCUCCGGACACGGCGUGGCCCCGCACGGCACGGCCCUUAAAGGCGGCCGCGGGGCCGUUCCAGAACGUUCCCCGCGCGCGGGCUCUGCCAGCCUGGCAUGGCGGGCGGUGGGCGCCCCCUGCUGUCCUCAUGCAGCGGUCACGGCCCUCCGGGGCGCCGGGACAGUUAAACACGUAAAAUUUAGUAAUUCUGUGGGGAAAGCGUCGUCUUUCAACUCUGGCUUGGCAUCCUGCAGUGUAUACGCCGGCCCCCCAGCACCUGCUGAGUGUAUAAUUUAUGUCAGGAUUUUGUAAAAUUUUUAAUUUAGCAGUGUAAAUCAAAAGUGCCGAGUUGCCAAGUAAAAUGAAUGUUGAGUUAAACUCAGUUGACCAGUGCAAUACAGCUUCUAUCACUUUUUUUUUUUCCUUUAAAAAUACGUGCCUGUUUUAUCACCCCUUUAUGGUGGUUUAUGGUUCCUUUAAAUGUUGAAUAUCAGAUCGCAAAUACCAAAAAUGUAAAUCCGGUUUGUCUAAUCUGGAGUUUAAAAUAUUCUUGUGAUGUCACAAAGUGAUGGCUUAUAAAAUAUUUUCAUUUAAUUAGGAAGCGCUAAGAGGAUUUCUGCAAGAAAAAAAAUAAAGGCGAGGAAGCUCAGUUUGAAUUAUUUAUGUGCUGUGAGCUAUCAUGAUUGCUGCUGCAGCUUUUCAAGUACAAAAAUGCAGGAUUUGCUCGCUUUUCAUUUUUAGAACCUAAUUCUUUAAUUAUUCAGGCAUGCAAAUUACUGUGAAGAGGGAUUAAUUAUGCAGGUAAUCAAGGUUUUAUUCUAAGUUUACUUUUAAAAAGCAAAGAUUGGCUGAUACUAUGAACAGUGUUGCUGGGCUUGUGCACUGAAAUACUCCUUUAAGGUAUGAUAACAAUCUGGGAUUUCAUGGAAGUAAAAGGAGUAGGGAUGAAUUUGUGCCUUGCAUAAGCCAAGGAACACAAUGCAUGACAUAAAUCUUGCUGUCCUGCGAGAGAGAAGGAUCUCCUUCCUCAGGACCGAGCACUCAUCAUCCUGUUUCUUCUUACAGAAUCAUAGAAUAUUCCACGUUGAAAAGGACCCACAGGGAUCAUCAAGUCCAACCCCUGACUCUGCACAGAACACCCCAACAAUCCCAUGCUGUGCCUGAGAGUGUUGUCCAAACACUCCUGGAGCUGUGGUAGCCAUGGCCAUUCCCUGGUUCAGUGCCCGACCACCCUCUGCGGGAAGAACCUUUCCCUGAUAUCCAGCCUGACCCUCCCCUGACCCAGCUCCAGCCGUUCCCUCGGGUCCUGUCCCUGGUCACACAGAGCAGAAAUUGGAGCUGUCCCUCCAUUGCCCCUUGGGAGGAAGCUGCAGACCCUGGUGAGGUCUGACCUCAGUCUCCUCCAG